This 252-nucleotide ribosomal RNA is filed under the name uncultured bacterium. Its description in RNAcentral is "partial 16S ribosomal RNA". It matches the Rfam family "Bacterial small subunit ribosomal RNA", at positions 524 to 776 of the family's 1533-position model. The record is from RNAcentral.
UACGUAGGUGGCGAGCGUUAUCCGGAAUGAUUGGGCGUAAAGGGUGCGUAGGCGGCCUGCUAAGUCUGGAGUGAAAGGUACCGGCUCAACCGGUACAGGCUCUGGAAACUGGCGGGCUAGAGAGCAGGAGAGGGCGGUGGAACUCCAUGUGUAGCGGUGAAAUGCGUAGGUAUAUGGAAGAACACCAGUGGCGAAAGCGGCUCUCUGGUCUGUAACUGACGCUGAGGUUCGAAAGCGUGGGUAGCAAACAGG